GACGAACGCUGGCGGCGUGCUUAACACAUGCAAGUCGAACGGAAAGGCCCUGCUUUUGUGGGGUGCUCGAGUGGCGAACGGGUGCGUAACACGUGAGUAACCUGCCCUUGACUUUGGGAUAACUUCAGGAAACUGGGGCUAAUACCGGAUAGGAGCUCCUGCUGCAUGGUGGGGGUUGGAAAGUUUCGGCGGGUGGGGAUGGACUCGCGGCUUAUCGGCUUGUUGGUGGGGUAGGGGCUUACCAAGGCUUUGGCGGGUAGCCGGCCUGAGAGGGUGGCCGGCCUCAUUGGGACUGCGAGACGGCCCAGACUCCUACGUGAGGCAGCAGUGGGGAAUAUUGCACAAUGGGCGGACGCCUGAUGCAGCAACGCCGCGUGCGGGAUGACGGCCUGCGGGUUGUAAACCGCUUUCGCCUGUGACGAAGCGUGAGUGACGGUAAUGGGUAAAGAAGCACCGGCUAACUACGUG
RNAcentral lists this ribosomal RNA (468 nucleotides) under uncultured bacterium. RNAcentral's name for it is "partial 16S ribosomal RNA". It matches the Rfam family "Bacterial small subunit ribosomal RNA", at positions 28 to 507 of the family's 1533-position model. The record is from RNAcentral.